RNAcentral lists this ribosomal RNA (978 nucleotides) under uncultured Russula. RNAcentral describes it as "eukaryotic LSU rRNA". The stretch from base 321 to 978 matches the Rfam family "Eukaryotic large subunit ribosomal RNA", at positions 1 to 632 of the family's 3401-position model. The record is from RNAcentral. Lineage: Eukaryota; Fungi; Basidiomycota; Agaricomycetes; Russulales; Russulaceae.
GUGAAUUGCAGAAUUCAGUGAAUCAUCGAAUCUUUGAACGCACCUUGCGCCCCUUGGCAUUCCGAGGGGCACACCCGUUUGAGUGUCGUGAAAUCUUCAAAAUCCCUCUCUUUUGAGGAUUUUUGGACUUGGAGGUUCAAUGCUCGCKUUUGCCUUUUAGAAAGCGAGCUCCUCUCAAAUGAAUCAGUGGGGUCUGCUUUGCCGGUCCUUGACGUGAUAAGRUCUUUCUACGUUUUGGAUUCGACAUCGUCCCGCUUCCAAUCGUCCCAUGGACAAAAGGAUGGUGCUCCGGUCGCGGCCGGACCCACCAAAAAAAACCUUGACCUCAAAUCGGGUGAGACUACCCGCUGAACUUAAGCAUAUCAAUAAGCGGAGGAAAAGAAACUAACAAGGAUUCCCCUAGUAACUGCGAGUGAAGCGGGAAAAGCUCAAAUUUAAAAUCUGGUGGUCUUUGGCCGUCCGAGUUGUAAUUUAGAGAAGCGUCUUCCGCGCUGGACCGUGCACAAGUCUCCUGGAACGGAGCGUCGUAGAGGGUGAGAAUCCCGUCUUUGGCAUGGACACACCAGGGCUUUUGCGAUGCGCUCUCGAAGAGUCGAGUUGUUUGGGAAUGCAGCUCAAAAUGGGUGGUGAACUCCAUCUAAAGCUAAAUAUUGGCGAGAGACCGAUAGCGAACAAGUACCGUGAGGGAAAGAUGAAAAGCACUUUGGAAAGAGAGUGAAACAGUACGUGAAAUUGUUGAAAGGGAAACGCUUGAAGUCAGUCGCGUCGUCCGAGACUCAGCCUCGCCUCGGCUUGGUGUACUUCUCGGCCCGACGGGUCAGCAUCAAUUUCGCCUCUCGGAUAAUGGCGRGGGAAAAGUGACACCAUUACGGUGUGUUAUAGUCUCUCGUCGCAUGCGAGGGUCGGGAUUGAGGAACUCAGCACGCGCCCUCGGGCGUCGGGGUUUUUGCCCACGAUACGUGCUUAGGAUGUUGGCGU